GCUAUUUUGGCAGAAAAAUGUAAUGAUUUUAGAAGUCAUGAAUGUAUAAUUUAAUUAUAUAGAUAGUA
RNAcentral lists this transfer RNA (68 nucleotides) under Pandesma quenavadi. RNAcentral's name for it is "tRNA-Leu". Lineage: Eukaryota; Metazoa; Arthropoda; Insecta; Lepidoptera; Erebidae. The record is from RNAcentral.